AUUUAGCAUCUAUUCAACUGUGCUCAUAAUCAAUUGAAAGCAAUCAAAGCAAAUGUCCAAGUCUCGAAUAUUCGAUUCGAAAUGCAAUCAUCUUGUAAUAGAUGGAAUUGAGUUUGCGUUGACAUAAAGUUGUUAAAUUGAUAAUGUUAAUAUUGGAUAUUCGAUAAACCAAUCGACUAAAUAGUUUCUAACAAACAUCAAACAGACAAGAUGGUUGGAGAAGUUUGGGACGCUGCUUGCUGGUGACUGCUGUAUGGGAAUGGCUCAUACUCUGGGAAGUCGGGGGGAAAAGCUGGCGAGUCGGCCAAGCCAAACGUCAUGUUUGCUGCCAAAAAUAAACAUGAUUUUUUCAUAAGGCACACAUAGAGGGAGAGAGCUAGCAGAGUCACUGAGCCGCAGUACCCAAAACUGACAGUCAGUUUGUUUGUCUACACAAUAAAAACAACAAAUGGUUGGAAAUAUGGCGACACGGGGCGAGAAGGAGGGGGGAACGAAGUCAAAAAACUGGUGCAAUGUGCGGUGAAUUGGACUUACCCAGACCCAAAAGCAGCUGAACGUUGACAAACUCCUUGAGCUGUGCCAAUUCAAGGCAAUUCCACAACUGCAAAUCCGAGUAAUAACCAUGCGGAUCGAGAUUUUCACGAAUUGUUGCAUUGAACAAAUGCACAUCCUGAGGAAUUAUCGAUAAUCUGGUACGCAGCUCGUCCACUCGUAUCUGCUCAAUGUCCACAUCAUCAAUGCAAAUGUGUCCACUUGUCGUCUGUAAUACUCCAAACAGGGAUAAAGCCAAAGAGGACUUGCCGCUGCCCGUCCGGCCACAGAUGCCAAUCUGAACAAUACCGCACUGUUUCCACUUAUUCAAAAUGGUUAGCGGGUAUUUUACAGACGAGCACACUCGACUGCAGCUUUCUUUCUUGUUGGAGUUAU
This is a long non-coding RNA of Drosophila albomicans, 927 nucleotides long. RefSeq lists it as uncharacterized. The transcript is spliced from 3 exons. NCBI's taxonomy places the organism in Eukaryota, Metazoa, Arthropoda, Insecta, Diptera, Drosophilidae. The record is from RefSeq and is a predicted model, not a curated record.